GUGAAUCAUCGAAUUUUUGAACGCAAAUUGCACUCUCUUCGGGGAGUAUGCCUGUUUGAGGGUCAGCCUAAAAAAAAUCGACAUAGUCGCUGUUUUCGCGGUGACAUUCGUCGGGAAUUGGUUCAUUUUAAAUAUUUGGGUUUUAAGCGGCUUAAAAUUUUCUUUACGGAUUCCACGAACGUUUCUAAGAUUUACUUCUUACACACG
This 207-nucleotide unclassified non-coding RNA is filed under the name Glomus sp. RNAcentral describes it as "partial contains 5.8S ribosomal RNA and internal transcribed spacer 2". The stretch from base 1 to 65 matches the Rfam family "5.8S ribosomal RNA", at positions 84 to 154 of the family's 154-position model. The record is from RNAcentral. Lineage: Eukaryota; Fungi; Glomeromycota; Glomeromycetes; Glomerales; Glomeraceae.